This 470-nucleotide ribosomal RNA is filed under the name uncultured bacterium. Its description in RNAcentral is "bacterial SSU rRNA". It matches the Rfam family "Bacterial small subunit ribosomal RNA", at positions 376 to 836 of the family's 1533-position model. The record is from RNAcentral.
CGAAAGGGUGACGAAGCGACGCCGCGUGCGGGAAGAAGGCCUUCGGGUUGUAAACCGCUGUCGGGAGUUAAGAAAUGUAAGGAUGUUAAUAGCAUCUUUGCUUGACUAAGGCUCCGGAGGAAGCCACGGCUAACUCUGUGCCAGCAGCCGCGGUAAUACAGAGGCGGCAAGCGUUGUUCGGAAUUAUUGGGCGUAAAGAGCACGUAGGCGGCUAUGUAAGUCGGUUGUGAAAGCCUUCCGCUCAACGGGAGAACAGCAUCCGAUACUGCAUGGCUUGAGUGCGGGAGGGGAGAGUGGAACUUCUGGUGGAGCGGUGAAAUGCGUAGAUAUCAGAAGGAACGCCGGCGGCGAAAGCGGCUCUCUGGCCCAUAACUGACGCUGAGUGUGCGAAAGCUAGGGGAGCAAACGGGAUUAGAUACCCCGGUAGUCCUAGCCGUAAACGAUGGGCACUAAGUAGAGGGGUUUUAAUC